UGGUCACGCGCCUUGCCGUGUUUACAGUACGUGUCUUGUUUCGGUGAAGGGAGUAUAAAAGUUUUUUCUCUGCAUUUAUGAAAAAAAAAAACGCCGAAAAUUCCCAGCAUGAAAAUCUGAAAUGAGCUACUAGCCACCAAGCAGUAAGAAAAUAACAAGCAGGAAACACUACUAUAGCCCUUAUGCGCAUGCGCGCAUUAUCGCUGCCUGUUGUGCAUGCGCCGACCGCCGAUCGAUGGCAGUUUAGAGUUCUAAACUUUGGAACUGGUAUCUAUUCCGGCGCGCGGAUAAUGUGCCUGCUAAUUUUCGUAGUUUCACCUGUUCUACAGCUAGAUGACUGUCGCACUAGACCAGUACCGUUUGCGGCGGAUAGUCGUGUAAUACCGGCUUUACAGUAUAGCUUGCUACCAGAGUUUAUGCGGACUUUGCAAAUGUAAGCAUUGAUGGUGUUUUUCUUCAACACUGCUUUUAACAUCGUCUGGACUCUAUCUACGUAUGCAGAGAAAGGGGAUGGUGAUCAGUCGCCGUACUGAGGUACGAAAAAGGGGACAGAACUGGAUAUGGUACUGAGAGAGAACCUGAUGUUGAGACAAAGCCGGAUGCUGUACCCCAGCGAUGUGAUCCAGGUGUAAGUGUUUGUGAUCGGUACCCAUUUACUUUCAGUGAAAGUAGUUGGAAACUCCCAAUUUGUUCUAAGAACAAUGUUAAAUUUAGAGAUGACCCCCACAUCGCCGUGUAAGGUGUAGGAAAGGACACCAUUCGUAGUGUGAGAGUUAUAUUUCAGUGAACUUUUGGAUGCUACUUAAGCGACAAAAUAAAUUAUUGUUUUUGGUUAAAAAUUAUGUGUAAAAUGUAAAAGUUUGAUUAGAAAAGAGGUUGUUGUUUCAAGAACUUAUGUAAAUUUUCCCUUUUAUGAAUGUUUUGAAAAUUUAAAUUGAGAUAAAAUGAUUCAGUUUGGAGUGUGGGAGAAAAGAGUUGAAAAUUUUCUGUAUAAGAAUUUACUGUAUGCCAUCAAGCCCUAGCCAUUGUUUAGUUGAUGUAACUGUCUAUAACGUUGUAACAUAAUCUUAGAUAUUUUGUUUAUUUGCGGCACUUCAGUUCAACAUAGAUUUUAGUAAGAACAUUUUAGAUUUGACAGUGUCGGUGUAGCUAUCGAAAUCAUUCUUAAACAACAUUUAUGGCAAUAAGAACCGUAAAAUAUACUCAAGAGAAAUUUUGGGUUCUUUGGGGGUGUGUAACAUCACAAGUCGGUACACAGUAGUAUUUUAUUGCAGUAAGCUACUUUGCAGUCCAGUUCAUAGCUUUGGAGCCUUUGGUGGUGACAGAAACAGCCACUUGUAUCUUAGCGUGACUCAUUCUCACCUGUCACUAGCCUAGCUGUGGGAAGCCGUACCUGUGUACAUUCGAGUGACUGAAUAUUCAAGCCCCUAAGAAUCUAAAUAAACUAUAUUACAUAUUAUUUAAGUUGGUUAAAAUUCAAUAUACUGCCUUCUGUUAUCAAAAAGAAGAUUGUGUAAAAAUCUCAGCUUUCUAGCUGGCAUACUUCCACAGUUUGAGAAAAUUACCUAAAACACCCCGUACUGACAAUUGUAAGAUUAAAGUCAGUUAGGAUUCAUAAGUUUCUUUUAGUAUCAUUUGGAAUCAUUACUGAAGUCCACGAAAUGUCUGGUCAAUUAGUUUGAAUUUUCAUAAUUAAAAAUGUUCACUAUUUUUCAUUUUCGUAAUAUAAAAGACAGAAAAGAUCAGUAUAUAUUUAAUGUAUUGUUGUGUGAGUAAAUGAGAAUGAGUGAGUUUGUAUUUGGGACAUACGAAAAAAUUCAGUAUUAUGUCAUGUUAAACAUUGUGUAACUAUGUCAUGGGAAAGUGUUAAAGCAAGCAAGUUGCAAUGAAAACUGUAAUUUCCUCACCGUGCUGAUGACGUAUGUCGAAGAGUAUAUUUCAUACCUGUUUAUGGAAUAGUUGGCGAGCAAUUUCUUUAUUAGAAAUCCACUGAAAAAGGACCAAAUGUGAAACUUGUAUACAGUCGCAGAGUAAUUACUGUAAAUCGCAUAACAACUCAGGUAGGACAUGAGUACAUUCUUGGCUGCCUUGUGUGUGUAUUGGGUUGUAUGAACUGUGAGCUGAGGACAGUGAUAUUAUUCAUUAAUUAAAUACGGGCUGUUGGCAAGUGUUUAAUUUUGAACCUAAAUAAAUAAAAGCACUUGUUGCAGAAU
Schistocerca gregaria is the source of this 2213-nucleotide long non-coding RNA. RefSeq lists it as uncharacterized. Lineage: Eukaryota; Metazoa; Arthropoda; Insecta; Orthoptera; Acrididae. The record is from RefSeq and is a predicted model, not a curated record. The transcript is spliced from 2 exons.